This 416-nucleotide long non-coding RNA is filed under the name Coffea arabica (coffee). RNAcentral's name for it is "long non-coding RNA (CARA_LNC003699)". Lineage: Eukaryota; Viridiplantae; Streptophyta; Magnoliopsida; Gentianales; Rubiaceae. The record is from RNAcentral.
CAGAAAUUACCUCAGAUACAAGCUAAGCUCACACACGAAAAUCUAGAAUCUUUCUUUCCUCCCUCUCGGCUUCAAGCGCAGGUCGGUUGGUCCUGGUUCCUGAGUUGCGGCUGGAGUGGUGUUGUGGUGGGGUUGAUUUCGGUUGGUUGGAGUUGGAAAUGGCCACAGCUAGGAGAGGAAAAGGUGCGAUGGUCUCCUGGUCUCUUCCCUCAGCUUACGGACAGAACAGAAAGAAAGAAAUUGCAGCUUGCGGACAGCUCUUCUUGGUCGAUGAUUACAAGAUGGCAGCUCACAAGGUUGUCUCUCUCAUUUACUCUCGGUCUAAGGCAGAGGAAGAGAUGAGAUGUGGUUGUGGAGAGGAAGUGUUGUGGCUGCGGGGAAGUUGUGCAGAGGAAAUGGAAUGGUGAAGAGUGGCG